Aegilops tauschii subsp. strangulata is the source of this 996-nucleotide non-coding RNA. The record is from RefSeq and is a predicted model, not a curated record. NCBI's taxonomy places the organism in Eukaryota, Viridiplantae, Streptophyta, Magnoliopsida, Poales, Poaceae.
AAAUUAGAGUUUUCAUUAGUUUCUUCUUUUUAUUUCGGUAUAUAAUGUUAUCUCGCUGACCUUCAGCCGUUGGGAAGAGGGGCAAACGAACAGCCCGAAAUUUCAAGUUUGAUAAAAAAAAUUGCAGGGGAAAAUCAAUUCAUUGAUUAAGUAAUAAUGGUUUUACAGUCAUCUAGAAUAGUGUGGAAAGAGAACGAUUUCAAUCUUUUCCUAAGAAUGCUUGGACCUCUACUACAAACAGGAAUUUUUCUGCUGUGCAAAAAGAAGAAACGUCUACAACAGGACCCGAUAACGCGCGCACGUUCGGUACCACAGGGCGCCGGUCCGAACGACCCUGUUCGGAGUGGGACUCCCUCGAGCCGAACAAAAUUGUUCGGACAUGAUUCCUUAACCCCCGAACUACCACGUGGCGAAACCCCCCUCUUGGUCCACACGGCUUCUCCCCUCGACCCCCGAUCCAAAAACGCCCUGCGUCUCCCACCUCCACCCCCGGUCCCCACCAUAGUUCCCCUUCCCCUCCAUACCCUUAUUCAUGGAAUUUGCCAUGGCAAGAUCGGAGGAACCCUACAGAAACUGAGCUACUUGAAGUGAAAUCAGGAAGCUAAUGUAUCAAAAGGGAUUGAUGUAGAUGUUGUGUGGGAUUUGAGAAAAUUGCCAACCCUGUUAAAGGUACAAUGCCAUGAGUAUAUGAAACAGGAGGGGGAUGGCAAUCUGCUUCUUUACACUACAAAAAAUGCCAUCACUACGAAGUUUACACUAUGAAAAAGUUGCCGUGAAGUUUACACACAUAGAGAUACAAGAUGGAAAACAAAAGAAGAGGUUUACAAUACGAAACUUGCCAUCAUGGCAACAAUGCGGUGAAAAAUGUUUUUUAACAUCUUAAGUCGCCAUGGCAAGUUUCCAUGUUUUUGAACAUAUUAAUUAAAGAAAAUUGCCAUGGAAAUUUUUUGAGAGAUGGAAAAUGUUGUGACAUGGCAAGUUUGCCAUGUUUUUUAA